RNAcentral lists this transfer RNA (74 nucleotides) under Bos taurus (domestic cattle). It matches the Rfam family "tRNA". Rfam says of the family: Transfer RNA (tRNA) molecules are approximately 80 nucleotides in length. Their secondary structure includes four short double-helical elements and three loops (D, anti-codon, and T loops). RNAcentral also lists the same sequence under 1 other name. The record is from Rfam by way of RNAcentral. Lineage: Eukaryota; Metazoa; Chordata; Mammalia; Artiodactyla; Bovidae.
UCCCUGGUGGUCCAGUGGCUAAGACUUCAAACUCACAAAUUCAGGGGGUCCAGGUUCCAUCCCUGGUCAGGGAU